AGGAACUCCGCCAACCAGGGACGCUCAAGGCGGCCUUAGCGGAGUUCAUCUGUACCCUGAUCUUCGUGUUCGCAGGUCAGGGUUCUGGCAUGGCUUUCAACAAGCUAUCAGUUGACGGUACCGCUACUCCCUCCGGCCUAAUCUCUGCCUCUAUAGCGCAUGCCUUCGGGCUUUUCGUGGCUGUCUCCGUCGGUGCUAACAUCUCCGGCGGCCACGUUAAUCCCGCCGUUACCUUCGGUGCUUUCGUUGGUGGAAACAUCACUUUGUUUCGUGGGAUUCUCUACAUUAUUGCACAGUUGCUUGGAUCCACUGUUGCUUGCUUCCUCCUUGAAUUUGCCACUGGUGGCAUGGUAAGCAUAUAUUUCUCCGGUCCACUUUAAUGAUUUGUUAGUCUUUUUUGUGUGGUGCAUAAUAUUUAAUUUUUUCAAAUAUCAAAGAAAGAAUUAAAGUUUUUUAUUCAAAGUUACCCUUUGAGUAAAACGAAAAAUCACUGGAUCGGAGGGAGGGAGUAUAACAAACUUAAUUUGUUGACUAAUUAGCCUGUAUUUAAUUUUAUCACGCUAUAGCCUUUAUGACAUGAUGUUAACAGUUCUAACUUCCUAUUCUAUCGCUUUAGUAGUAGGCGUCUUAAUCUUUGACUUUUUUACAUUUAGCUUUUUUCUUAUAAAAAAAGAAAAAAGGGAGGAAAAAAAAUAUAAGUUAACUCGUAGUCUUAUACCUAACUUUUACAAUUUUGAGCUAUAAAGGCAGAUUAUAGUCAUUUACCUUUUGAAGUAUCUGGGAUGCAAUAAAUAAUUAUUUAUUCAAUUUCUUCUCUUGAGUGGAUAAUGAAUAUAUGGUGGGUGUAUGAGAGAGAAAUCACGAGCUUUUGCAACUCUUCUGGAAGUUCACGUACAGUUUUUCCUUUCUGAUAAGUAGUAAAAGGAAAAUGGUAUAGACUUUUUUGUUUUCAGCCAUGUGAGGAAAUGUUAUGCCCUUUUUGAAAAUUAUCCUGAAUUACUAUAUGGAGUACUUCAUUUUUACCAUGAAAUAUAUGAGGACAUGGAAAUUUUUGCCUAGUUUCUAAACCAAAAAUUACAAAAUAUAUACUAGCUAGGUAUGUGGUCUGCUGACUCUAUAAUAGACAGUAUUAGGAGAUUUUUUCUUGAUUUUUAGGAAAUUUCCAUUACCACGAGGUUCAUUAGCCAUUAAAUAUCAAAUCUUAUGUCACUCCCUUGUUAAUUUGACCCAUGAAAGCGAAGAUGGCGAGUGAAAGUUGAAUGAAUGCUCUAAGGUCAUUUAUGAUAAUUUUUAUACCAUAGAAAUUAUCGUUUAUUAUUAUUAUUGAUAAAAGUUGAACUAUUGGCUGGUGUCAAUAUAUGUCAUUAUCGUUGAGAUGGUUCAUAUAAUUGUUUGUUGUGCGAGGGUGACAUCUCUGAUUAGAGUGUAAAAAAUGCUUAUUUAGGACAAUAAUAGUGCCAUCAAGGGUUUUUACAUAUUUUAUAAAACAUAAAUUUGGAACUCACGGAUUAGCUAGAAAUCUUUUUAUAUCUCGUUUGAGAGCGACAUAUUUUGUCUUCCCAUUAUGUAAGAUAGUGAUAUGAUGGUAAUUAUAUCUAAAGCAAUAUAAUACACAUUUAUUCAAUAUUUAUGAGAGCCAAUUUAGUACCUAACAAUAUUCAUCCGUUAGGUGGCAUUAUUACUUUCUUCUACUUAUAGUGAAAGAAUAUUCCAAUCAUAUUCCUUUAUUACACUGUCAGAGUAAAAAAGAUUUGCAUUAUUUUAACAUGUUAUAUCAAAUGUUCCAUGUUUAUAGAUUAUAACUUGUUCAUAUAGGUACCUUAAUCUGAUGGCAUAAAUAUUCUGUAUACAAAACUUAAAAUCCUUUUUAAUUUUCAUUAAUUCUGAGAGUGAAUACUAACAAUUGUGAUGGUUAAAUAAUAAUGCAGAGCACAGGAGCAUUUGCAUUGUCAGCUGGUGUAUCAGUAUGGAAUGCUUUUGUCUUUGAAAUAGUGAUGACUUUUGGACUUGUUUACACUGUGUAUGCCACUGCUAUUGACCCAAAGAAGGGAGACUUGGGAGUAAUUGCACCAAUUGCCAUUGGUUUUAUUGUUGGUGCCAACAUUUUAGCUGGUGGGGCCUUUACUGGAGCUUCAAUGAACCCUGCUGUCUCAUUUGGUCCUGCUUUGGUUAGCUGGACCUGGACCCACCAAUGGGUCUACUGGGCUGGGCCCCUUGUUGGUGGUGGGAUUGCUGGUGUUGUCUAUGAACUCAUCUUCAUCAACCACUCCCAUGAGCCACUCCCAAGUGGAGAUUUUUAAGAUAUUCAAAUUUCAACCUCUGUUGCUUUGAUUUUCUCUUUGGAGUUUUCCUUGUUGUGUCUAUGUUUAUUGGACGCCGUUGAAUUGUACUGU
RNAcentral lists this long non-coding RNA (2393 nucleotides) under Nicotiana tabacum (common tobacco). RNAcentral's name for it is "long non-coding RNA (NTAB_LNC010059)". Lineage: Eukaryota; Viridiplantae; Streptophyta; Magnoliopsida; Solanales; Solanaceae. The record is from RNAcentral.